Molecule: ribosomal RNA, 433 nt
Filed under: uncultured bacterium
Lineage: Bacteria
Description: partial 16S ribosomal RNA
Rfam family: Bacterial small subunit ribosomal RNA
Source: RNAcentral
AGCGAACGCUGGCGGCAGGCCUAACACAUGCAAGUCGAACGAACUCUUCGGAGUUAGUGGCGGACGGGUGAGUAACCCGUGGGAACGUGCCUUUAGGUUCGGAAUAACUCAGGGAAACUUGUGCUAAUACCGAAUGUGCCCUUCGGGGGAAAGAUUUAUCGCCUUUAGAGCGGCCCGCGUCUGAUUAGCUAGUUGGUGAGGUAAAGGCUCACCAAGGCGACGAUCAGUAGCUGGUCUGAGAGGAUGAUCAGCCACAUUGGGACUGAGACACGGCCCAAACUCCUACGGGAGGCAGCAGUGGGGAAUCUUGCGCAAUGGGCGAAAUCCUGACGCAGCCAUGCCGCGUGAAUGAUGAAGGUCGUAGGAUUGUAAAAUUCUUUCACCGGGGACGAUAAUGACGGUACCCGGAGAAGAAGCCCCGGCUAACUUCGUG